GAUGGAGAACGUAGCGAAAUGCGAUAAGUAAUGCGAAUUGCAGAAUUCAGUGAAUCAUCGAAUCUUUGAACGCACAUUGCGCCCGCCAGUAUUCUGGCGGGCAUGCCUGUCUGAGCGUCGUUUCGACCCUCGCGCCCGGCUUCUGUCGGGGGCGGUGUUGGGGAUCGGCCACACCCUUCAGUGGGAGGCCGGCCCCUAAAUUCAGUGGCGACCACGCUGUAGCCUCCCCUGCGUAGUACUAAAACCACCUCGCAGGCGGAGAGCGGUGCGGCCCGCCGUAAAACCCCCCAACUUUUACAAGGUCGACCUCAGAUCAGGUAGGAAUACCCGCUGAACUUAAGCAUAUCAAUAAGCGGAGGA
RNAcentral lists this unclassified non-coding RNA (360 nucleotides) under soil metagenome. Its description in RNAcentral is "partial contains 5.8S ribosomal RNA, internal transcribed spacer 2, and large subunit ribosomal RNA". The stretch from base 1 to 120 matches the Rfam family "5.8S ribosomal RNA", at positions 35 to 154 of the family's 154-position model. The record is from RNAcentral.